RNAcentral lists this ribosomal RNA (200 nucleotides) under uncultured bacterium. RNAcentral describes it as "partial 16S ribosomal RNA". It matches the Rfam family "Bacterial small subunit ribosomal RNA", at positions 1303 to 1500 of the family's 1533-position model. The record is from RNAcentral.
GGCUGAAACUCGCCUACAUNAAGCUGGAGUUGCUAGUAAUCGCGAAUCAGCAUGUCGCGGUGAAUACGUUCCCGGGCCUUGUACACACCGCCCGUCACACCAUGAGAGUUGGCAAUACCCAACGUACGUGAUCUAACCCGCAAGGGAGGAAGCGUCCUAAGGUAGGGUCAGCGAUUGGGGUGAAGUCGUAACAAGGUACC